Molecule: long non-coding RNA, 926 nt
Organism: Gorilla gorilla gorilla (western lowland gorilla)
Lineage: Eukaryota; Metazoa; Chordata; Mammalia; Primates; Hominidae
Exons: 5
Source: RefSeq, a predicted model, not a curated record
GUGCUGUUGUAAAGUCACCAGAGUGGGAAUGGGGGGCUCCCAUGGAGCCUGCAUUCUAGGGAGGAAAGCUGACAACACAUCAACUAGAAACUAUCAGUAACAUUAUGCAGAGAACUGAGAUGGGGAGCUACGUUUGCAUGAGUAGUCAGGAAAAAGAUCUUUGUUUUUGAAGGGUGAUGUCUGAACAGAGACCCCAAUGUUGCAUGGAAGCAGGUCAUGUGAAGACCAGGGAGAACAGCGCCCCAGAGAUGGAGUUCUGCUCGUCGCCCAGGCUGGAGUGCAGGGGCGCAAUCUUGGCUCACCACAACCUCUACCUCCUGGUUCAAGCAAUUCUCCCGCCUCAGCCUCCCGAGUAGCUGGGAUUACAGCCACGCAAAACAUGCCUGCUUCCCCGUCACCUUCCGCUGUGAUUGUGAGUUUCCUGAGGCCUCCCCAGCCGUACUUCCUGGACAGCCUGCAGAACCACAACAAACCAAACAAUAGGGCAAGCUGUGGUUUGUAGUGUCUGCUGAUUCCUGUGGUGUGAAUACUCCCACCAUGGCCAAUAUCAAGCUGCCAACAUGGCGUCACUAUAUGCAGACUUGGGAAGAGAUGCCUGCUAGCACAUCAUGGUAUUGACUGAGAGCUCUCCCUGGGCUGGGCCGAUCAGGAGGAGGCUGAGCAGUGAAAACAGUGACCCCUGUCCUCAAGGAGCUAACGAGAAGAGCAAAUGGCUGGCAACGGUGCAAGACACAGAAUGAGCAACGGGCUGCACGAAUCGCGAUUUACGUGGCUUUGGGAAAAAACGCAUCUCACAAGUUGGGGCUGUCAUACAGCAUUGGCUUCUUUGUAAUCAAUGCGUUUCAGCAAUAUAUGGGGGUGAGUUUAGUUUCCAGUUGGCUUCCCUGAGGGUGUUGGAUAAAGUUGCAAUUUAGAUUCAAUCAAUA